Molecule: ribosomal RNA, 253 nt
Filed under: uncultured bacterium
Lineage: Bacteria
Description: partial 16S ribosomal RNA
Rfam family: Bacterial small subunit ribosomal RNA
Source: RNAcentral
UACGUAGGGGGCAAGCGUUGUCCGGAAUCAUUGGGCGUAAAGCGCGCGUAGGCGGCCCUGUAAGUCCGUUGUGAAAGUCGAAGGCUCAACCUUCGAAAGCCGAUGGAUACUGCGGGGCUAGAGUCCGGAAGAGGCGAGUGGAAUUCCCGGUGUAGCAGUGAAAUGCGUAGAGAUCGGGAGGAACAUCAGUUGCGAAGGCGACACGCUGGGCCGUACCUGACGCUAAAGCGCGACAGCAUGGGGAGCAAACGGG